GCUCUCAUAUAGCUCAGCUGGCAGAGCAUGAAACUCUUAAUCUCAAGGUUGUGGGUUUGAGCCCAGCGUUGGGCA
This is a non-coding RNA of Podarcis lilfordi (Lilford's wall lizard), 75 nucleotides long. NCBI's taxonomy places the organism in Eukaryota, Metazoa, Chordata, Lepidosauria, Squamata, Lacertidae. The record is from the annotation of a GenBank genome assembly.